ACAAUGUAUCGUUUCCAACAUUCGGAAAUAAAGACAUGUUGAAAUCUCUAUGGAAGCACACUCAGGUUCUAGCAGAAGAGUUUUGGAACCGCUGGCGUAACGAAUAUUUAAACCGUCUACAAACUCGACAAAAAUGGACCAGUGAAUACAGUAAUAUGAAGGAAGGCGAUUUAGUACUCUUAAGAGACCGUGAAUGUGCUCGCAACUAUUGGCCAGUCGCAAUUGUUGAAAAGACAUUCCCUAGUUUUGAUCAGAAAGUCAGAAAGGUUCAAAUUCGUGUUGUGCGUGAUGGGAAAGCAGUUAGUUAUGUUAGACCAAUCAACGAACUAGUAAUGUUGGUAGAGCAUGUGGAACUAAAACAAAGUGAAACAGAUUAAUGAUUAUAAUUUUAACUCGUUGAAUCUUCGGAUAGUCAGAUCAUUUUAUAACAGUUAUUACAUUUUGCAUUGAUAAUUUGUUCAUGUUAUUUUCAAAUUUGUUAAUGAAUUGGUGAUUUCAGUUUUGAAAUCAGAGGGGGAGUGUUAUGUCACACUCCGGAAAUUACGGAUCUGUCCGUCAUUAUGUCGAAUUUUAUUUUUGAUGUCUGCCACACGGCAAAGAUAAACAAACUUUUCUUUGGUAUUCAACCCUCCACAGGUUUUUUACCCUCUCUGGAGGUCUGCAAUAAAAGAUAGUAACUCAGG
Molecule: long non-coding RNA, 683 nt
Organism: Mytilus californianus (California mussel)
Lineage: Eukaryota; Metazoa; Mollusca; Bivalvia; Mytilida; Mytilidae
Exons: 2
Source: RefSeq, a predicted model, not a curated record